RNAcentral lists this ribosomal RNA (473 nucleotides) under uncultured bacterium. RNAcentral's name for it is "bacterial SSU rRNA". It matches the Rfam family "Bacterial small subunit ribosomal RNA", at positions 327 to 793 of the family's 1533-position model. The record is from RNAcentral.
ACUCGUAGACUCCUACGGGAGGCAGCAGUGGGGAAUAUUGCACAUGGGGGAAACCCUGAUGCAGCCAUGCCGCGUGUGUGAAGAAGGCCUUCGGGUUGUAAAGCACUUUCAGUCGUGAGGAAGGUAGUGUAGUUAAUAGCUGUAUUAUUUGACGUUAGCGACAGAAGAAGCACCGGCUAANUCCCGUGCCAGCAGCCGCGGUAAUACGGAGGGUGCGAGCGUUAAUCGGAAUUACUGGGCGUAAAGCGCAUGCAGGUGGUUUGUUAAGUCAGAUGUGAAAGCCCGGGGCUCAACCUCGGAAUUGCAUUUGAAACUGGCAGACUAGAGUACUGUAGAGGGGGUAGAAUUUCAGGUGUAGCGGUGAAAUGCGUAGAGAUCUGAAGGAAUACCGGUGGCGAAGGCGGCCCCCUGGACAGAUACUGACACUCAGAUGCGAAAGCGUGGGGAGCAAACAGGAUUAGAUACCCUGGUAG